GUGUGUGUGUGUGUGUGAGUGUAUUUUUCAAUUUGACUAUCUUUAUGGCAGCAAAUUCUCCUGGUUUGAUGAAUCCCAGCUUGGCUGUGUUUGAGUAACUGAAACUCAUUGUGCUUCUUUUUGUUUGUGAUUCAAACAGGUUAAUAUGGUUUGGUUAGUUCUGCAAGUGUAUUAUUAAUUUAAUAUUGUAGUUCUAUUCUAUAUGGUUGUUGAUCAGC
Molecule: unclassified non-coding RNA, 218 nt
Filed under: Hevea brasiliensis (rubber tree)
Lineage: Eukaryota; Viridiplantae; Streptophyta; Magnoliopsida; Malpighiales; Euphorbiaceae
Source: RNAcentral